ACCUAGCUGCAAGCACUGGGUGAUCUCCAUCAAGAAACCAGCUCCAUCUCCAGUAGGAGAUGGGUUCUUUCAGCUCAGCUAACCCAAGCUCCUAUCCCAGCUGGGCGUGAUGAGACCUGCCACUGCCUCAAGUUGCUUACGUCUGCAUGACAUGUACCACACAGAAGGGACUUGGGAGACUAUGGAGGGCACAGAAUGCUCCCUAGAACCAGCGAAAGAGCGUCCUGCCGUUGGAAGUAUUCAAGCUGAGAAAGCAUUGUCAAGCAGAAGAGAUCCUGCUCAAAAGGGGCGUUCUGCACGGAACAGGUGGCUGAACGGUGAACUCCAUGGUUUCCCGCUGCUGCGCAUAUUUUCCCUAAUACCAGCUCGAGGUCGCAGGGCAGCUGGGCGGUGUUAACCAUGCUCCAGUUUCUACAUUGCGCGGAAAACAGGAGAAGGGAGUGGCUUCGGAGCUCCGUUUUCCAUCGCCCUGGUAGCUGAAGGGAGACCAGCAGGAAGACGGGCGGACUGGGGAGGCUGUGGC
Molecule: long non-coding RNA, 523 nt
Filed under: Ursus maritimus (polar bear)
Lineage: Eukaryota; Metazoa; Chordata; Mammalia; Carnivora; Ursidae
Description: lncRNA (ENSUMAG00000022400.1)
Source: RNAcentral